UACAGAGGGGGCAAGCGUUGUUCGGAAUUACUGGGCAUAAAGGGCGCGUAGGCGGCGCGGUAAGUCACUUGUGAAAUCUCUGAGCUUAACUCAGAACGGCCAAGUGAUACUGCAGUGCUAGAGUGCAGAAAGGGCAAUCGGAAUUCUUGGUGUAGCGGUGAAAUGCGUAGAUAUCAAGAGGAACACCUGAGGCGAAGGCGGGUUGCUAGGCUGACACUGACGCUGAGUGCGCGAAAGCCAGGGGAGCAAACGGG
This 254-nucleotide ribosomal RNA is filed under the name uncultured bacterium. RNAcentral describes it as "partial 16S ribosomal RNA". It matches the Rfam family "Bacterial small subunit ribosomal RNA", at positions 524 to 776 of the family's 1533-position model. The record is from RNAcentral.